CCAGACUCCUACGGGAGGCAGCAGUGGGGAAUAUUGCACAAUGGGCGAAAGCCUGAUGCAGCAACGCCGCGUGAAGGAAGAAGGUCUUCGGAUCGUAAACUUCUGUCCUUGGGGAAGAUAAUGACGGUACCCUUGGAGGAAGCCCCGGCUAACUACGUGCCAGCAGCCGCGGUAAUACGUAGGGAGCGAGCGUUGUCCGGAAUUACUGGGUGUAAAGGGAGCGUAGGCGGGACGGCAAGUCAGAUGUGAAAACUGAGGGCUCAACUUUCAGACUGCAUUUGAAACUGCUGUUCUUGAGUGAAGUAGAGGUAAGCGGAAUUCCUAGUGUAGCGGUGAAAUGCGUAGAUAUUAGGAGGAACAUCGGUGGCGAAGGCGGCUUACUGGGCUUUUACUGACGCUGAGGCUCGAAAGCGUGGGGAGCAAACAGGAUUAGAUACCCGAGUAC
Molecule: ribosomal RNA, 445 nt
Filed under: uncultured bacterium
Lineage: Bacteria
Description: bacterial SSU rRNA
Rfam family: Bacterial small subunit ribosomal RNA
Source: RNAcentral